GAAUGCGCAUCGUGCUAGGGAUAGACUGUUGCAAUUUUCAGUCUUGAACGAGGAAUUCCUAGUAAACGCAAGUCAUCAGCUUGCAUUGAUUACGUCCCUGCCCUUUGUACACACCGCCCGUCGCACCUACCGAUUGAAUGACUCGGUGAAAAAUUGGGACCGUGAGUCUGUUUGCUUUAUUGCGAGUGGAUUGAUGGGAACUUUUUUAAACCUCGCCAUUUAGAGGAAGGUGAAGUCGUAACAAGGUUUCCGUAGGUGAACCUGCGGAAGGAUCAUUA
RNAcentral lists this ribosomal RNA (278 nucleotides) under Phytophthora infestans T30-4. RNAcentral's name for it is "18S ribosomal RNA". It matches the Rfam family "Eukaryotic small subunit ribosomal RNA", at positions 1556 to 1831 of the family's 1831-position model. Lineage: Eukaryota; Oomycota; Peronosporomycetes; Peronosporales; Peronosporaceae. The record is from RNAcentral.